RNAcentral lists this transfer RNA (75 nucleotides) under Dehalococcoidia bacterium. RNAcentral's name for it is "tRNA-Trp". It matches the Rfam family "tRNA". From Rfam's summary of the family: Transfer RNA (tRNA) molecules are approximately 80 nucleotides in length. Their secondary structure includes four short double-helical elements and three loops (D, anti-codon, and T loops). Lineage: Bacteria; Bacillati; Chloroflexota; Dehalococcoidia. The record is from RNAcentral.
GGGUCGUUAGGCUAAUUGGCAAACCGCUUAUCUCCAAAAUAAGAAUUGAGGGUUCGAGUCCUUCACGGCCCGCUA